This 253-nucleotide ribosomal RNA is filed under the name uncultured bacterium. Its description in RNAcentral is "partial 16S ribosomal RNA". It matches the Rfam family "Bacterial small subunit ribosomal RNA", at positions 524 to 776 of the family's 1533-position model. The record is from RNAcentral.
UACGUAGGGUGCAAGCGUUGUCCGGAAUUAUUGGGCGUAAAGAGCUCGUAGGCGGUCUGUUGCGUCGGCUGUGAAAACCCGGGGCUCAACCCCGGGCCUGCAGCCGAUACGGGCAGACUAGAGUUCGGCAGGGGAGACUGGAAUUCCUGGUGUAGCGGUGAAAUGCGCAGAUAUCAGGAGGAACACCGGUGGCGAAGGCGGGUCUCUGGGCCGAUACUGACGCUGAGGCGCGAAAGCCAGGGGAGCGAACGGG